UUCUAACCGUAAACGAUGCCAACUAGCGAUCAGCGGGGGUUGCUAAAUGACUCUGCUGGAAGCUUCCGGGAAACCAAAGUGCUUGGGUUCCGGGGGAAGUAUGGUUGCAAAGCUGAAACUUAAAGGAAUUGACGGAAGGGCACCACCAGGAGUGGAGCCUGCGGCUUAAUUUGACUCAACGCGGGGAAACUCACCCGGCCCGGACACCGUAAGGAUUGACAGAUUGAUAGCUCUUUCUUGAUUCGGUGGGUGGUGGUGCAUGGCCGUUCUUAGUUGGUGGAGCGAUUUGUCUGGUUAAUUCCGAUAACGAACGAGACUCUAGCCUACUAAAUAGUGUACGGAUUCGAGUCCGAUUCACUUCUUAGAGGGACAAGGGGUAUCUAGCCCCACGAGAUUGAGCAAUAACAGGUCUGUGAUGCCCUUAGAUGUCCGGGGCUGCACGCGCGCUACACUGAAGGAGUCAACGUGCAUUGUGACCUAGCCUGGAAAGGCCGGGUAACCCAGUGAAACUCCUUCGUGAUUGGGAUAGGGAAUUGUAAUUAUUUCCCUUGAACGAGGAAUUCCUAGUAAGUGCGGGUCAUCAGCUCGCGUUG
RNAcentral lists this ribosomal RNA (593 nucleotides) under unidentified nematode. RNAcentral describes it as "SSU rRNA". It matches the Rfam family "Eukaryotic small subunit ribosomal RNA", at positions 1024 to 1643 of the family's 1831-position model. The record is from RNAcentral. Lineage: Eukaryota; Metazoa; Nematoda.